UGCAGUAAGGAGAAGAAAGAAGCGGUUGUUUUGAGACUGGAGAUGAGAUGGCUUGUGCCGUCAGAAGAGUUUCAAGACUGAAGACGAGAUGGCUUAAAUAGCUAGGGUAAUGUAAGGGUAAAAACAGUAGCUUUUUAAGAGAGGAAAAUCAGUUCAGUUCAGUUCAGUUAAUUCGGUUUUUUUAUUAAAUUAACCUAAACGAACUGAAAAACAGAUUUUUUUUACAA
Molecule: unclassified non-coding RNA, 227 nt
Filed under: Hevea brasiliensis (rubber tree)
Lineage: Eukaryota; Viridiplantae; Streptophyta; Magnoliopsida; Malpighiales; Euphorbiaceae
Source: RNAcentral